CGCUCUCAGGCUAUCAUGGCGGCUCCCAGUGGGAAGGGAGCCCGGGCGCCGGAGGCUCCGGGCUGCGGGCCCCGGCCGCUCGCCCGGGACCUGGUGGACGACGUGGACUACGUGGAGGGGCUGUACGUGGCGGUGGAGCGGUGCCCGCUGUGCAACACCACCCGCCGGCGGCUGACCUGCGCCAAGUGCGUCCAGAACGGCGACUUCGUCUACUUCGACGGCCGCGACCGUGAGAGGUUUAUAGACAAGAAGGAACGGUUAAGCCAACUUAAGAGCAAACAGGAAGAAUUUCAAAAAGAAGUGUUAAAAGCUAUGGAAGGAAAAUGGAUAACAGAUCAGUUGAGAUGGAAAAUAAUGUCCUGCAAGAUGAGGAUUGAACAGCUGAAACAAACAAUAUGCAAAGGAAAUGAAGAAAUGAAGAAAAAUUCUGAAGGCCUUCUCAAAACCAAGGAAAAGAAUCAGAAGCUUUAUACUCGAGCACAACGGCAUCAAGAGAAAAAGGAGAAGAUUCAGAGGCAUAACCGCAAACUUGGGGACCUGGUAGAAAAAAAGACCAUCGACUUAAAAAGUCAUUAUGAGCGUCUGGCAGAUCUUCGGCGGUCUCAUAUAUUAGAGCUCACCUCUGUCAUCUUCCCAAUUGAGGAAGUGAAGACUGGUGCGAGAGAUCCCGCGGAUGUGUCUUCAGAGAGUGACAGUGCCAUGACCUCCAGCACCGUGAGCAAGCUUGCCGAAGCCCGGAGGACGACUUACCACUCAGGGAGAUGGGUCUGUGACGACCACAAUGGGGACACCAGCAUCAGCAUCACAGGGCCUUGGAUUAGCCUUCCCAACAACGGGGACUACUCUGCCUACUAUAAUUGGGUGGAAGAGAAGAAAACCACGCAGGGGCCUGACAUGGAGCAUAACAACCCUGCUUACACCAUCAGCGCUGCGCUGUGCUAUGCGACUCAGCUGGCCAACAUUUUGUCUCAUAUACUCGACAUAAAUCUUCCCAAAAAGCUGUGCAACAGUGAAUUUUGUGGGGAAAAUCUCAGCAGACAGAAAUUUACUCGAGCAGUAAAGAAACUGAAUGCAAAUAUUCUUUACUUGUGCUUUUCUCAGCAUGUAAAUUUAGACCAAUUACAACCACUGCAUACCCUCAGGAAUCUAAUGUACCUGGUCAGCCCGAAUUCUGAACACCUAGGCAGGUCGGGACCCUUUGAAGUGCGCGCAGACCUCGAGGAGUCCAUGGAAUUUGUGGAUCCCGGAGUUGCUGGAGAAUCAGACGAGAGUGGAGACGAGCACAUAAGUGAUGAGGAAACCGACUUGGGCACAGAUUGGGAGAACUUGCCAAGCCCCCGGUUUUGUGACAUCCCUUCCCAGCCCGUGGAAGUCUCGCAGAGCCAGAGCACCCAGGCCUCCCCGCCCAUUGCCAGCAGCAGUGCGGGCGGGAUGAUCUCCUCCGCUGCAGCCUCGGUGACCUCCUGGUUUAAAGCUUACACUGGACACCGUUAACGAGCAUGGAUCAAAAUGUGCCAGAUUUGCAUCAGGAAAGUAAACUAGUAAACUAUGUAUUUAGGCCAGAGGACCCAGACCCAGCCUACAUGUUGGUCCUCGUGAUGCUGAUCACAGGCCAGAGGACCCAGACCCAGCCGACAUGUUGGUCCUCAUGAUGCUGAUCACAGGCCAGAGGACCCAGACCCAGCUGACAUGUUGGUCCUCGUGAUGCUGAUCACAGGCCAGAGGACCCGGACCCAGCCUACAUGUUGGUCCUCAUGAUGCUGAUCACAGGCCAGAGGACCCGGACCCGGCCGACAUGUUGGUCCUCGUGAUACUGAUCACAGGCCAGAGGACACAGACCCAGCCUACAUGUUGGUCCUUGUGAUGCUGAGACUAUUCCUGUCACUUUAUGUUGUAGAGAUUGAAUCUCAAGGAACUGAUUCUUGAUGAUUUAGGACUUGAAAGAUAAAAAAACUGUUUAAUAUGAGUUUGUUUUUAUGCGAUCAUUUUUGUACAGAAAACCAGCAGGCAAUUUGAGAUACUUGAUUUCUUUAUAAUUUGGUCACGUUUGGUUUUUAGGUCAAGGAUUUUGGUUUUGUUUGGAAGGGUGGUGUUUAUUUUUGGGGGGGAAGGGGGACGGGGAGUAAUUUAAACAUUAUUUCACUUGUGCUGCUCUGUCGUAGCUCAUCAGACAUUCCUGUUUUUCUUUCUCCCCACACACCAAAGAAACUAAGCUCUUUUCUUUAGGACCCACAUCCAUGAACAGAAGAAAUUCUAGCUGCAAUAAUGUCCUAGAGAUUGUAAACCUAUUUUCUUAUAUUCUGAGUGGAAUUUAGUUCAUUCUUACCUAGAUUAUUGAAUUCCUACCAUCUACACUAUGUGCAGUUUGAAAUGAAACUUAUUUUCUAUGAGUGAAAGAUUAAGUCAUUAAGGUUGUUUGCUAAUGAGGUUACUAGUAAAAGCCACUUUAAUUAAGUGGCCUUUAGUAGUCUUCUGGUGUCCAAUUUGUUUCUAAGGGAUAUAGUAGGUGGCAGGUUUUUCCAGGGAAAGCUAUCCUGCCUGUUUCCUAGAAGUCUUUGUUGCUCUAAGGACACUACCUUCCUCAGAAAUGCAGAGGAAAUCAUAGCUGGUACUCCUCCUGUCUCCUGGGGGAAGCUCCAGGGAAGGAUGUUUCCUCACCAAGAGACCAUUUUCAGCUCGUUUCUUGUCAUUCUCUAGUGACAAUCUUUUAAGAAAACCGUAGAGAGGCAUUAUGUACAAAUAUGUAAGUAGUUUAUUUUUAAUAACUGCAAAAAAAAAUCCUAUGUAACUACAAAAAGAAAUCCUAUGAAAAAUUCCUAACAGGCAUUAUUACCACAUCUUGUUAGUGUGAUUAGCAUGAUAGUACCUCAGAUAAAUCACUUGGGGGUUUGCCCUGCCCUAGCUUCUUUUCUCGUAAUUAUUAGAGAGGAUCUUUGCCUCCAAACCCGAGGUGCUAUAUAGCUUUUGCUAUUGGUAUAUUUAGUGUUUGGCAGAGUUUGGGGUAGAGUUGCAGAAGGGUUGUUUAUUCCUACCCAGGAGUCCCAAGUUCCCUGAGUAUGAAUUUGCCACUUUAGGAGGAAACAGGCUCUGUUUUAACUGCUCAGCUUUAUGUUGCUGGGCUUGUGUUGUACCAUCCAGGCCUGUAAUUCAUAGAGUGGUUGACUUGAACAAACACCAAGUGAACUUAAAAUCCCAUGAGGUAAGACUUACCAGGUACUUCCAACCCUCAAAAAGAAGAGCUUAGUCUCAAGAGUUGAAAGACUGGGAUUUGGGGCUUGAGGGUAGAGCUUGACUUCAGCUGAAAGAUGCACAAUAGUCACGGUUGUUCUCAAAUAAGCCUCUUGGAAACCAUGAAUGUGAGAUGAAGCUUAAGAACAGAAUCCAGAGAUCACAAACUCAUAACUAGAGUAAUUCAACAAACCGUGAAGGGUAUGGGAGAUGUAGGGAUUGAUAGGGUAUAUUUUGUUGUUGUUAUCAACUAGAGGCACUUUACUUAGGGUUAAAAUGAUCAAACCCUUUAGUGGUUAUGAACACCAACAUACUGGCUUACACUGCUGAGGUAUUUUGGUUUUCAUUAUUUUGCACUGGAUCCACCCUGUAAAUAUUCUUAAGUAUACAUUUCAACCACUGUUUUUUCUAUUCUUUUUGCUGCUCAUUAAAUUCUUUCAUGUAGGUGCCAGAACCAUAUGUAAACAGCUUUUUAAAAAAUUGAAGCUGGUUUUUAUUUUUAAACAAAAAGCCAUAGACCUUGGUCCUUUAUUCCACAUUAAAAUGAUUUGUUGAAACAAAAUAAUACUAACAAAAAUCCAGAGGCACCAACAGGCCGCUUAAAAUGGUUUGCUAAAGACUUUUUUAUAAUGGAGUCUAAGAAAAGUUUUGCACAUCUGUAAGUUAAGACAAAAAACAUGUCAGCAUUGGGUCUAGCAGACAGGAUACAUUUAAGGAUUCGUGUGUUGGUAAUUUGGAAAAAAGCAUUUGGUGGCAUGCUGUUAAAAGAACUACAGUGUCUGGGAAUCUCUUCGGUGGUGUCAUGUUGCAGGAAUUUCCCAUUGCUCUGCAACUUCCAAACCAGAUUGAGUCAUACAAAUGUUUUCUAAACUUUUAUUGUAUUAUUACAAUAAACCUUUUACCAGUA
RNA transcript from Myotis lucifugus (little brown bat), 4135 nucleotides. It is a transcript of the gene named autophagy related 14, with no coding region annotated. The record is from RefSeq and is a predicted model, not a curated record. NCBI's taxonomy places the organism in Eukaryota, Metazoa, Chordata, Mammalia, Chiroptera, Vespertilionidae. The transcript has 11 exons.